CGGCAACAGCUCAAAUUUGAAAUCUGGCCCCUAGGGUCCGAGUUGUAAUUUGCAGAGGAUGCUUUUGACAAGGUGCCUUCCGAGUUCCCUGGAACGGGACGCCUUAGAGGGUGAGAGCCCCGUACGGUUGAAUGCCUAGCCUCUGUAAAUCUCCUUCGAC
Molecule: ribosomal RNA, 160 nt
Filed under: Pochonia sp.
Lineage: Eukaryota; Fungi; Ascomycota; Sordariomycetes; Hypocreales; Clavicipitaceae
Description: partial large subunit ribosomal RNA
Rfam family: Eukaryotic large subunit ribosomal RNA
Source: RNAcentral